RNAcentral lists this long non-coding RNA (386 nucleotides) under Ananas comosus (pineapple). Its description in RNAcentral is "long non-coding RNA (ACOM_LNC026062)". Lineage: Eukaryota; Viridiplantae; Streptophyta; Magnoliopsida; Poales; Bromeliaceae. The record is from RNAcentral.
AUACUAUUAAACCAACCACCCACUCAACCCUAGGGGACCACUAUCAAUUUAACCGGGGACCACUAUCAUCCUAACCGCACAUCUAUUCAUCCAACGGCCGAAAACUCAAUAGUACCAAGGGCUUGGUACAAUUGAUAGUAUAGUAGCAUAAUUCUAUAUAUAUAUAUACAUAUAUAUAUAUAUAUCCCCUAGGGUUGAGUGGGUGGUUGGUUUAAUAGUAUAAUCUAACGGGUGAAAAUGAUCAAAGGGUAGAUCUAACGGUAGAAAACUCAAUAGUACCAAGGGCUUGGUACUAUCGAUAGUAUAGUAACCGGACUCUCUCUCUCUCUCUCUCUCUCUCUCUCUCUCUCUAUAUAUAUAUAUAUAUAUAUAACUUUAUAUGAUAU